This 424-nucleotide ribosomal RNA is filed under the name Fusobacteriota bacterium. RNAcentral's name for it is "Fusobacteria bacterium partial 16S ribosomal RNA". It matches the Rfam family "Bacterial small subunit ribosomal RNA", at positions 355 to 776 of the family's 1533-position model. Lineage: Bacteria; Fusobacteriati; Fusobacteriota. The record is from RNAcentral.
UGAGGAAUAUUGGUCAAUGGGCGAGAGCCUGAACCAGCCAAGUAGCGUGCAGGAUGACGGCCCUAUGGGUUGUAAACUGCUUUUAUGUGGGGAUAAAGUGCGUGACGUGUCAUGCAUUGCAGGUACCACAUGAAUAAGGACCGGCUAAUUCCGUGCCAGCAGCCGCGGUAAUACGGAAGGUCCGGGCGUUAUCCGGAUUUAUUGGGUUUAAAGGGAGCGUAGGCUGUCUAAUAAGCGUGUUGUGAAAUUUACCGGCUCAACCGGUGGCUUGCAGCGCGAACUGGUCGACUUGAGUAUGCAGGAAGUAGGCGGAAUUCAUGGUGUAGCGGUGAAAUGCUUAGAUAUCAUGACGAACUCCGAUUGCGCAGGCAGCUUACUGUAGCAUAACUGACGCUGAUGCUCGAAAGUGCGGGUAUCAAACAGG